UUCUCUCUCUCUCUCUCUCUUCUUUCUGGAAGCGACGCUUACAUCUCCGACCAACACAAUGAACAAAGCUUCGAUUAUCCGGCCAUCUCCCUCCAAAUCGCCGCCAAAAUAAACAUGAAGGAGCUCCUUUCAUACUCGUCUUCCUAAUAAUCUAACCUUCGAAGGUUGUCCGAAAACUCAAAUCGACGAUCCAUACACCGCAAUGACGGAAUUGAGAGAAAAUCCAGGUGUGCAUGCAUAGAGAUUUUGAAGAGUACAAACCAAUUUCAAAGGGAUAUGAACGAUCUGAUAAAGAUAAGUACCCUAUUAGCCCAAAAUUAUAGGAGUCUAGCUAAAACACUAAUGAGAUUAAUUGUGAAAAUCAUAGAAUUAGAAAAAAAAAACAUGCUUUAAUAUUUCCAUACUAUUUAUCCUCCAAAGUAUAUAUACUGAUUAAUGUUUAUAUACCACUUGAAAUUUUUAAUCCCAUUAACUUUGAAGGCUUAACAUUUUUUUUUCUGAAUAUGAUUGGCACAUAUUGAAAGAAAAGCACAAAAUUAUGGAAAAAGACCUGCAUUAUAAGAAGUUUAAAGCAUGAACAACAGUUGGCAUUGAGAAGGAGGUUGCUUGGUAUGCUGUUGAAACCCCUUGAAAAAGGGGUUCUAAUAGUUUGCAAAAGGAACAAAUGAGAAACACAAACAUUUAUCAAAAUCUCACUCCAUAAUAUUAAAAAUGGAGGAAGUUCAUACAUUAAAGCCUAUACAAUUAAUUCAACUCUUCAUUAGAUAGAGAAGGGUUUAAAAAUGAUAGACAGGAAAAUAUCACCUUUGUUUCUUGAA
Long non-coding RNA from Ipomoea nil (Japanese morning glory), 818 nucleotides. RefSeq lists it as uncharacterized. Lineage: Eukaryota; Viridiplantae; Streptophyta; Magnoliopsida; Solanales; Convolvulaceae. The record is from RefSeq and is a predicted model, not a curated record. The transcript has 3 exons.